AACGCACAUUGCGCCCGCCAGCACUCUGGCGGGCAUGCCUGUCCGAGCGUCAUUUCGACCAUCAGGGCCCCCCGGGGACCUGGCGUUGGGGACCGGCGACCGCCCAGCAGCGGGCGCCGCCCCCUAAAACCAUCGGCAGCCCGUCGCGGGCGGCCCUGCGCAGUAGCGAUACCUCGCAGCGGCCCCGGCGGCGCGGCCUCGCCGUAAAACCCCCGACCUCACACCAGGUUGACCUCGGAUCAGGUAGGAAUACCCGCUGAACUUAA
RNAcentral lists this unclassified non-coding RNA (266 nucleotides) under uncultured fungus. RNAcentral's name for it is "partial contains 5.8S ribosomal RNA, internal transcribed spacer 2, and large subunit ribosomal RNA". The record is from RNAcentral. Lineage: Eukaryota; Fungi.